GACGAACGCUGGCGGCGUGCCUAAUACAUGCAAGUCGAGCGAAGUUUUUCUGGUGCUUGCACUAGGAAAACUUAGCGGCGAACGGGUGAGUAACACGUAAAGAACCUGCCUCAUAGACUGGGACAACUAUUGGAAACGAUAGCUAAUACCGGAUAACAGUAUUUCUCGCAUGAGAGAUAUUUAAAAGUUGGUUAUGCUAACACUAUGAGAUGGCUUUGCGGUGCAUUAGCUAGUUGGUGGGGUAAAGGCCUACCAAGGCGACGAUGCAUAGCCGACCUGAGAGGGUGAUCGGCCACACUGGGACUGAGACACGGCCCAGACUCCUACGGGAGGCAGCAGUAGGGAAUCUUCCGCAAUGGGCGAAAGCCUGACGGAGCAACGCCGCGUGAGUGAAGAAGGAUUUCGGUUCGUAAAGCUCUGUUGUUAGGGAAGAAUGGAUAUGUAGUAACUAUACAUAUAAGA
RNAcentral lists this ribosomal RNA (462 nucleotides) under Gemella morbillorum. RNAcentral describes it as "bacterial SSU rRNA". It matches the Rfam family "Bacterial small subunit ribosomal RNA", at positions 28 to 477 of the family's 1533-position model. Lineage: Bacteria; Bacillati; Bacillota; Bacilli; Caryophanales; Gemellaceae. The record is from RNAcentral.